RNAcentral lists this ribosomal RNA (248 nucleotides) under uncultured soil bacterium. RNAcentral describes it as "partial 16S ribosomal RNA". It matches the Rfam family "Bacterial small subunit ribosomal RNA", at positions 26 to 285 of the family's 1533-position model. The record is from RNAcentral.
AGGACGAACGCUGGCGGCGUGCUUAACACAUGCAAGUCAAGGGGGCCCAGCAAUGGGCAACCGGCGAACGGGUGCGUAACACGUGAGCAACCUACCGAAAUGUGGGGGAUAGCCGGCCUAACGGCCGAGUAAUACCGCAUACGCUCUCGAUGAGGCAUUUCAUUGAGAGGAAACCUACGGGACAUUUCGAGGGCUCGCGGCCUAUCAGCUAGUUGGCGAGGUAACGCUCACCAAGGCAACGACGGGUA